This 492-nucleotide ribosomal RNA is filed under the name uncultured bacterium. Its description in RNAcentral is "partial 16S ribosomal RNA". It matches the Rfam family "Bacterial small subunit ribosomal RNA", at positions 29 to 507 of the family's 1533-position model. The record is from RNAcentral.
AGUGAACGCUGGCGGUAGGCCUAACACAUGCAAGUCGAACGGCAGCACAGUAAGAGCUUGCUCUUACGGGUGGCGAGUGGCGGACGGGUGAGGAAUACAUCGGAAUCUACUUUUUCGUGGGGGAUAACGUAGGGAAACUUACGCUAAUACCGCAUACGACCUACGGGUGAAAGCAGGGGAUCUUCGGACCUUGCGCGAUUGCAUGAGCCGAUGUCGGAUUAGCUAGUUGGCGGGGUAAAGGCCCACCAAGGCGACGAUCCGUAGCUGGUCUGAGAGGAUGAUCAGCCAAACUGGAACUGAGACACGGUCCAGACUCCUACGGGAGGCAGCAGUGGGGAAUAUUGGACAAUGGGCGCAAGCCUGAUCCAGCCAUACCGCGUGGGUGAAGAAGGCCUUCGGGUUGUAAAGCCCUUUUGUUGGGAAAGAAAAGCAGCAGGUUAAUACCCCGCUGUUCUGACGGUACCCAAAGAAUAAGCACCGGCUAACUUCGUG